This 468-nucleotide ribosomal RNA is filed under the name uncultured bacterium. RNAcentral describes it as "partial 16S ribosomal RNA". It matches the Rfam family "Bacterial small subunit ribosomal RNA", at positions 28 to 507 of the family's 1533-position model. The record is from RNAcentral.
GACGAACGCUGGCGGCGUGCUUAACACAUGCAAGUCGAACGGAAAGGCCCUGCUUUUGUGGGGUGCUCGAGUGGCGAACGGGUGAGUAACACGUGAGUAACCUGCCCUUGACUUUGGGAUAACUUCAGGAAACUGGAGCUAAUACAGGAUAGGAGCUCCUGCUGCAUGGUGGGGGUUGGAAAGUUUCGGCGGUUGGGGAUGGACUCGCGGCUUAUCAGCUUGUUGGUGGGGUAGUGGCUUACCAAGGCUUUGACGGGUAGCCGGCCUGAGAGGGUGACCGGCCACAUUGGGACUGAGAUACGGACCAGACUCCUACGGGAGGCAGCAGCGGGGAAUAUUGCACAAUGGGCGGAAGCCUGAUGCAGCAACGCCGCGUGCGGGAUGACGGCCUUCGGGUUGUAAACCGCUUUCGCCUGUGACGAAGCGUGAGUGACGGUAAUGGGUAAAGAAGCACCGGCUAACUACGUG